UCGGCUGUUCGCCGAUUAAAGUGGCACGCGAGCUGGGUUCAGAACGUCGUGAGACAGUUCGGUCCCUAUCUGUUGUGGGCGUAGGAGAUUUGAGAGAACCUGACACUAGUACGAGAGGACCGUGUUGGACAGACCUCUGGUGUACCUGUUGUGGCGCCAGCUGCAUCGCAGGGUAGCUAUGUUUGGAAGAGAUAAGCACUGAAAGCAUCUAAGUACGAAGCUCGUCUCAAGAUGAGAUCUCCUUUAAGGGUCGUUGAAGACUACGACGUUGAUAGGUUGCAGGUGUAAAGGCGGUAACGUCAAAGCCGAGCAAUACUAAUUACCCGUAAACUUUCGGAG
RNAcentral lists this ribosomal RNA (339 nucleotides) under Bacteroidetes bacterium GWA2_40_15. RNAcentral describes it as "bacterial LSU rRNA". It matches the Rfam family "Bacterial large subunit ribosomal RNA", at positions 2572 to 2925 of the family's 2925-position model. Lineage: Bacteria; Pseudomonadati; Bacteroidota. The record is from RNAcentral.